CUCUUCUUCUACUGGGAGUGUCAGCGUUUUAACAGUAAAAAGACCAUCGCCUUGGAACCUCUUAACCAACACGACGUCUUGCUGCAUCCACGUGACUACUGAUCACGCACCUUUCCGCUGCUAGCCUGUCCUGCGAACCGAUUCUGAUGCAUUAAGUACCUGGAGCGUUCAUAGAAGCAAUAUAAAGAAAGGCAGCCGGAAAAAAGCAUGCAUAGCCGCAUGCUAAUUGCGGGAUUAAAUUGGAACUCGGAACUCAUACUCGCUCUUUAUUCGCCUCACCUUCUAGUCUACUCAGUGGAAGCGAAAAUGAAGCGUGACGGGCGUGGGAGUUUUCCUCCUCGUGCUUCAUUAUGAAAUAUCCUUAUCGUGCCUGUACAAAUACAUGAUAGUGCUGUUAAAAUACACGGUUAAUACUCUUCUGCAUCUACGCCUAUGAAUUCCGGACUCCAAGCCUGACAAUAUUAAUUAGCGUAACAUUACAAUGUUGAUAGAUUUACCUUCAUUCAGAAUUGUCCUAUGAGGGACAUGCAGUCAGAACAUAUCAACAACUGUUCCUUAACUGCUUCAAGUGAUCUUCUGAACAGCUGGAAACUUAUUGCCCACUUCAUGUGCUAAAUGAUCUUGCUUAAGUGAGAUAAAAAAUUAUGCCUGUGUUUAGUGAUAUUAUCAAGUCUCAUUUUCUUCUCUAUGUGUGUAGCUUGUGGACGAAUUCGCGAAAGCCAUUGUGAUUGAAGCCAUAAUUUCAUGUAAUACCAAAUUUCUUCUGUAGUUCUAGGACUGAAAUAAAAUUGUUUUUUCACAGGUAAAA
Molecule: long non-coding RNA, 808 nt
Organism: Stegodyphus dumicola
Lineage: Eukaryota; Metazoa; Arthropoda; Arachnida; Araneae; Eresidae
Source: RefSeq, a predicted model, not a curated record